GGAGGAAAGUAGGGGAUCGAAAGACCUUAUGCUUUUGGAGCGGCCGAUGUCUGAUUAGCUAGUUGGUAAGGUAAUGGCUUACCAAGGCAACGAUCAGUAGUUGGUCUGAGAGGACGACCAGCCACACUGGGACUGAGACACGGCCCAGACUCCUACGGGAGGCAGCAGUGGGGAAUUUUGGACAAUGGGCGCAAGCCUGAUCCAGCAAUGCCGCGUGAGUGAAGAAGGCCUUCGGGUUGUAAAGCUCUUUCAGUUGAGAAGAAAAGAUUGUAACUAAUAAUUGCAAUCCAUGACGGUAUCGACAGAAGAAGCACCGGCUAACUACGUGCCAGCAGCCGCGGUAACACGUAGGGUGCGAGCGUUAAUCGGAAUUACUGGGCGUAAAGGGUGCGCAGGCGGUUUUGUAAGUCAGAUGUGAAAUCCCCGGGCUUAACCUGGGAACUGCGUUUGAAACUACAAAGCUAG
This 465-nucleotide ribosomal RNA is filed under the name uncultured bacterium. Its description in RNAcentral is "bacterial SSU rRNA". It matches the Rfam family "Bacterial small subunit ribosomal RNA", at positions 198 to 644 of the family's 1533-position model. The record is from RNAcentral.